This 74-nucleotide transfer RNA is filed under the name candidate division WWE3 bacterium RBG_19FT_COMBO_34_6. RNAcentral's name for it is "tRNA-Met". It matches the Rfam family "tRNA". Rfam says of the family: Transfer RNA (tRNA) molecules are approximately 80 nucleotides in length. Their secondary structure includes four short double-helical elements and three loops (D, anti-codon, and T loops). The record is from RNAcentral. Lineage: Bacteria; candidate division WWE3.
AGCGGGGUGGAGGAACAGUACCUCGUCAGGCUCAUAAUCUGAAGGUCUCGGUGCAAAUCCGAGCCCCGCAACCA